Molecule: non-coding RNA, 2505 nt
Organism: Microcebus murinus (gray mouse lemur)
Lineage: Eukaryota; Metazoa; Chordata; Mammalia; Primates; Cheirogaleidae
Source: RefSeq, a predicted model, not a curated record
GGCCGCAGCCCGAGGGCAACCGCCCCCAUCCCCCCGCGCGCCCCGGGCACCUGGGGCCCGCGCCUCCCGUCUCCAACCGACUCGUCCUUCCCACCGCUUCCCCCAAGCAGUGCGGGCCCUGGGCGCCCGCACCCUGUCCCUUCGGCAGAGUCGCGUCGCCUCCCGCAACCCCGGUGUCCUCUUCUGCCAAGCGCAGGUGAGGAGAGGGAGCUGGCGGGGUCGCGAGAGGUGUUGGAGGGACGGGUCCGCGAGACGCGCCUGACGGCCUGCGUGCCCCUUCUUUCUAAAUGUUCUCAGUGUGAUGCUGUCUGAGACAUGUCCCAAGGGAUAAGGAGAAUAAAGAAGCCCCUCCCCCACCGCGGAGUCCCGCAGGAAUCUUUGGGGUCCUCCCAUCCUCCUUGCCCUGGGGCCCCCUUCUCUCAGCUGGAGCCCUGGCACUGCCCUCCCCCCGCCCCCCGCUGGAGGAAAGGCCUGGAACAGUCAGGAUGGGCUUCGUGUGCCAGCCACCGCGCCCUGGGGGAGACAUUAUUGGCUGCAUUUUGCAGUGGGAAGGACCCAGAUGGCACAGUCAGGCAGGACCGGACUGGAGUUCUGGCUCCCGAUACUACAAAUGACCUUGGACAAGUUAUGGCACUUUCUGAGUCUCUUUCCUCGCCUGUGGAAUGGAAUAACAAUACCUACUUCCAUGCGUUGUGAGAAUUCAAUGAGAUGAUGCAAUUAAAAUGCCUCUUAGCACCCAGUAUACGAUAGAAGGCUGCGUACAACAUCUGCUAUUCUGCCUCUUGCAUUUUUCACUUAAUAAAACAUCCUGGAAAUGCAUCGCUCCGUCGAAGCACACAGGUAUCAUCUUCCUUCGUUGUCACAGCCGCAUGGCACUCACCUGUGUGGACAUACCAGCGUUUAUUUCAUCAGCCCCUUACUGAGGAAUGUUUCUGCCCCGUGGAUGGGUUGCUUCCAACCUUUUGCUUUUACGAAGAGUGCUGCAGUGAAGCCUUUUUGUAUUUUUUGCCAUUUCUGCCUCUUUCUACCUCUGCGGCCUUGGGCAGGGUCCUUCACCUCUCCAAUCUCAGUGUCUCUACCCGUAAAAUGGAGGCAAGUCAGCAGCCCCCUCCCUGGGAGGUGGCGAGGAAUAGAUGAGCCACGUGCACAAGGCAGACAGCAGAGGGCCCAUCAUUGCCAGAAGCAAAUGUUAAACAACACUUAUUGGUUACUAUUAUUCAUUGUUCGUGCCUCGGAGCUUCAGGCUCCUCUGGCAGAGACCCUGACUUGGGAAAGGGUGUUCCUGUGGUCUCCAGGGACUCAGGUUGGGGCCUAUGGGCUCAUUUCAGACUUUCCUGUGCUUCCUGUGGCUCUCCAUUUGCCAAGGAGCUAGGAGAAUCCCCAAGGAUAAAGCAUCAGCUAUUGCUGGCUGGUGAAAAUUUCCAGGGAAGGAAAGCCUUAGCUUCCCACAGAAGCCAGGUCGCCCAUUUCUGCACCUGAAAGGUGCAAACUUUGCUCCCUCCCGCCACAGAACCGAAGGUAACACACAGCCAAUCCCCCUCCCUGCCUUAGAUGGGCAGCCAGGGAGGUACACGGACCACUCAGCAUGAAUCACACACUCCGUGCACUAUGUGGCACACGUAACAUACGGGUGAACAUGGUCCCCACCCUCUGAGGAGGCACAAGCCAAACAUGAUGUGCCCUGUCCACACGUAACACCCUGGUGGAAAAGGACUGGGUUGGGUUUCCAGGAAGGAGCAAGGUAGGGGGAGGGAAAGGCUAGGGCAGAAACGGCCACUGCUUUCCACUGUUUGGGCACAGUGAAAACAGCACCAAACUUAGAGUCAAGAGACCUGGGUUCCAUUGCUAUCUCCCUCACAUUUGUUGGAAUUGUGGGAAGGUUGUAGGGUAAAGUGGUUAAAAGAAAUAGGAAUGUCUUACUCACAUAGUCUUGACUCGGAUAGAACUGGGUUCCAGUUUCUAGCAGGAAAGACCAGACAACCUGAUUACUCUGAGCUUCACUUUCCUCAUCUGUAAAAUGGGCACAGUAACAUCACCUCCCUUAGAUUCUUGUAAGCAUUAAAUGAGAGGACGUAGAUAAAGGGUUUAGCUCAGUGCGUGACACAUAGUAAAUGCUCAUGUAGUGGAGACUGCUCUUAGGAUGAUGAUGGUGGUGAUGAUGUAUUAACAUGUGAGUAUACUUCGAAAAGUCUAAGGAGAUGAUGAUGGUUAUCAUAACUGCUUUCCUGUAGCACUUUAGAGUUUGCAUUUGUUUAGUGCACUCCCUUUUUCAAAGGGCAACUGUAUGCAUCUGGGCUUCACAGUAAUCUCCAGGUAGAGGUUCUGAUUCAUCCCCUCCUAACUGAUGGGAAGCGGAGUCCAGAGAGGUUGAGUGGCUUGUCUAGCCCACCUGGCUUAGGAGCAGCAGAGCUGGACCUCAGCCCUAGAGGAGGCUUCUCUGGCUUUUUUUUAAAGACAGAGUCUCACUCUGUUGCUCUGACUAGAGUGCCGUGGCAUCAGCCUAGC